GUGCCUAAUACAUGCAAGUCGAGCGGACAGAAGGGAGCUUGCUCCCGGAUGUUAGCGGCGGACGGGUGAGUAACACGUGGGUAACCUGCCUGUAAGACUGGGAUAACUCCGGGAAACCGGAGCUAAUACCGGAUAGUUCCUUGAACCGCAUGGUUCAAGGAUGAAAGACGGUUUCGGCUGUCACUUACAGAUGGACCCGCGGCGCAUUAGCUAGUUGGUGAGGUAACGGCUCACCAAGGCGACGAUGCGUAGCCGACCUGAGAGGGUGAUCGGCCACACUGGGACUGAGACACGGCCCAGACUCCUACGGGAGGCAGCAGUAGGGAAUCUUCCGCAAUGGACGAAAGUCUGACGGAGCAACGCCGCGUGAGUGAUGAAGGUUUUCGGAUCGUAAAGCUCUGUUGUUAGGGAAGAACAAGUGCAAGAGUAACUGCUUGCACCUUGACGGUACCUAACCAGAAAGCCACGGCUAACUACGUGCCAGCAGCCGCGGUAAUACGUAGGUGGCAAGCGUUGUCCGGAAUUAUUGGGCGUAAAGGGCUCGCAGGCGGUUUCUUAAGUCUGAUGUGAAAGCCCCCGGCUCAACCGGGGAGGGUCAUUGGAAACUGGGAAACUUGAGUGCAGAAGAGGAGAGUGGAAUUCCACGUGUAGCGGUGAAAUGCGUAGAGAUGUGGAGGAACACCAGUG
This 687-nucleotide ribosomal RNA is filed under the name Bacillus aerophilus. RNAcentral's name for it is "bacterial SSU rRNA". It matches the Rfam family "Bacterial small subunit ribosomal RNA", at positions 44 to 714 of the family's 1533-position model. The record is from RNAcentral. Lineage: Bacteria; Bacillati; Bacillota; Bacilli; Caryophanales; Bacillaceae.